Non-coding RNA from Domibacillus antri, 86 nucleotides. Lineage: Bacteria; Bacillati; Bacillota; Bacilli; Caryophanales; Bacillaceae. The record is from Rfam.
AAUACGAAAUGGCAAACUUGCUGAAAAGCAAGGACGCAAAGCUAUGGGCCUACGGAAUUUGAUUCUAUGGCUGCCAGGCCGCCGAA